AAUUAUUUAAUUUUUUUUUUUAAUUUUUAUUAAUUCACUCUUUUUGUUUUUUAGAAUUUUUUUCAUGCACUAUCAUACGUAGAUGAUGAAGCUUAUUGUGACUAAGCCCGAGGGAUACUAUGUAGACUGUGCUUGAUGGUUUGUUUGUCUUUUGAUAUUAUCUGAAACUCUGCUGAUUUUAUUUGUAUUUUUUUUAGCAUGUCGUUGUGCACAGUAAAUAUUGAUGUCGGAGCUUUUGAAGAAUUGAAAUAAUGUUGCUCAAUUGAAUGGGCUGCCCGGUGGAUUAUCUCACAUC
RNAcentral lists this long non-coding RNA (295 nucleotides) under Aquilegia coerulea. RNAcentral describes it as "long non-coding RNA (ACOE_LNC000802)". The record is from RNAcentral. Lineage: Eukaryota; Viridiplantae; Streptophyta; Magnoliopsida; Ranunculales; Ranunculaceae.